CCCUAUGGGGUGCAGCAGUCUGGUAGCUCGUCGGGCUCAUAACCCGAAGGCCGUAGGUUCAAAUCCUACCCCCGCAACCAAAUUUCAUACUAUCUUUAUCUAGUUUUUUUAUAUCGCUUGUGGACAUGGAUUUAUUCUUUUUUUGUAUAGAAAUAAUUUUUUUAUUACGGACGAAUUUUUUUAUGGAGUGUGUAAUUAAUUCUCUUUUUUAGCUUACAACGAAUUGUAGUUUUAUAUUUGCCCCAAUGAAAAAAUGCUACAGAUAUUUUUUUUAUGUAUGUUUACUUUUAUUGAUCAACGCUUCAUUUUGUUGGGCCGCUUACGUAUCGCGAGCGGAGGCCAAGCGAGCGUUUGAAAUAAUUAAGAGCAUCGAUUAUUUACCGUUUGAGUACAAGUGGGAUGGAUGCUUUGCUCGUUCGCUUUUUAUGUCUAUGGAAUUGGCGGGAGAGC
RNAcentral lists this transfer RNA (450 nucleotides) under uncultured prokaryote. Its description in RNAcentral is "partial 16S ribosomal RNA". The stretch from base 4 to 77 matches the Rfam family "tRNA". The record is from RNAcentral.